GUACCUUGAUCAGGUGCUGGUAAGGCAAUUACUUUAUUAGUCAUCUGGUCCCUGCGAAAAAAAAACACUUAUGUUUUUAAGACACGUGCUUACCAACCAUUUAUCUUUUACUAAGAUAGCAUGUACUAACGCAUUACUGUCGGUUUUUGACAUAGUUACUUGAUAUGAUUCAGAGCCAUGUUUAAGGUACUCGAUCCCACACAAAGCAUUGGUAGAAUCGUACACAAAAGGUUUUCCAUCACAUUGGAAAUUAUUGUCUUUGAAUUUCUCACAGUCAUUCAAAAUGGGUAUUGAAUACGAAUCUGGUAUCCACAGUUGAAAAGCCAAAACAUCUGGGGUUUGGACUUUUACAUGGAUAUUUUCCUUCCAAUUACCGACAUUGUAGAUUGUUUUCAUUUGAAAAAUGGUUUUGGGAGUUACAUAUGGUAUGGCCAAUAAAAAGCAAAUCUCCAUACGUUCCGGAUCAAUUAAGAGAGGUA
This is a non-coding RNA of Pelobates cultripes (western spadefoot toad), 479 nucleotides long. Lineage: Eukaryota; Metazoa; Chordata; Amphibia; Anura; Pelobatidae. The record is from the annotation of a GenBank genome assembly.